Molecule: ribosomal RNA, 2189 nt
Filed under: human gut metagenome
Description: bacterial LSU rRNA
Rfam family: Bacterial large subunit ribosomal RNA
Source: RNAcentral
UUAAGCUAAUAAGAGCGCAGGGAGGAUGCCUUGGCAUCAGGAGCCGAAGAAGGACGUGGUAAGCUGCGAAAAGCUACGGGGAUUGGCAAGCACGAUUUGAUCCGUAGAUAUCCGAAUGGAGCAAUCCACAUGGAGUCAAGUCCAUGUAUCAUAUACUGAAUAAAUAGGUAUAUGAGGGGAACCGCCCGAACUGAAACAUCUAAGUAGGGCGAGGAAAAGAAAUCAACCGAGAUUCUGUGAGUAGUGGCGAGCGAAAGCGGAAGAGGCUAAACCGAGAGGAGCAAUCCUUUCGGGGUUUAGGACUGCAUUUAGUACAAUGAUUGUUAACCGAACAGCAUGGGAAGGCUGAUCAAAGAAGGUGAGAAUCCUGUAGGUGAAAACGAAAGUUGACGAGCAGUAUCCAAAGUACCGCGGGGCACGUGAAAUCCCGUGGGAAGAUGGGGGGACCAUCCUCCAAGCCUAAAUACUACCUGAUGACCGAUAGCGAAAAGUACUGUGAAGGAAAGGUGAAAAGCACCCCGGGAGGGGAGUGAAAGAGAACCUGAAACCCUGUGCUUACAAGCACUUAGAGCACGUCAAAGUGUGAUAAGGUACCUAUUGUAGAAUGGUCCGGCGAGUUAUUGUAUGCAGCGAGGUUAAGUAGUUCAGCUACGGAGCCGAAGUGAGAGCGAGUGUUAACAGCACGUUCAGUUGCAUGCAAUAGACCCGAAACCGGGUGACCUAUCCAUGUCCAGGAUGAAGUGAGGGUAAAACCUCAUGGAGGUCCGAACCCACUCCCGUUGAAAUGGUAGGGGAUGAGGUGUGGAUAGCGGAGAAAUUCCAAUCGAACCCGGAUAUAGCUGGUUCUCCCCGAAAUAGUUUUAGGACUAGCCUCGUGAUCAAGAUUAUCGGAGGUAAAGCACUGAAUGGCCUAGGGGUCGAGAGAUUACCGAAGCCUAUCAAACUCUGAAUGCCGAAUAAUCAUGCACGGGAGUCAGACUGUGUGAGAUAAGUUUCAUAGUCGAAAGGGAAACAGCCCAGACCUACAGCUAAGGUCCCAAAGUACGUUUAAGUGGAAAACGAUGUGAAAUUGCGUAGACAACCAGGAUGUUGGCUUAGAAGCAGCCAUACAUUAAAAGAGUGCGUAAUAGCUCACUGGUCGAGUGACUUUGCGCGGAAAAUUUAACGGGGCUAAAACGUACACCGAAGCUUAGGCUUGUCACAAUGUGACAGGGGUAGGGGAGCGUUGAAUGAGGGGUGAAGUCGUAGCGAAAGCGACGGUGGACUUCAUUCAAGUGAGAAUGCCGGAAUGAGUAGCGAGAAUUAUGUGAGAAUCAUAAUGGCCGAAAGCCUAAGGUUUUUGGAGGAAGGUUCGUCCGCUCCAAGUAAGUCGGAAGCUAAGGUGAGGCUGAAAAGCGUAGCCGAUGCACAAACGGUUGAAAUUCCGUUACCACAGAAAGAUUUAAACUAAGGGACACUUUUGAAGAGCUGAUGCCGGGUGUUGGUUACCCCGGUCGUAAGGGAACGAAAUUAAGUAGUGAAGUCAGCGUGGAUGAAGGCGAGAAAAGCUUAGUGUAUAUCUUAUGUGUCCGUACCGCAAACCGACACAGGUAGGUAGGAAGAGAAUUCUAAGGCCAACGGGAGAAGGGUAGUUAAGGAACUCGGCAAAAUGUCCCCGUAACUUCGGAAUAAGGGGAGGUUUCUACGGAAACCCGCAGAGAAUAGUCCCAGGCAACUGUUUAUCAAAAACACAGCUCUAUGCUAAAUCGAAAGAUGACGUAUAUGGGGUGACGCCUGCCCGGUGCCGGAAGGUUAAGAGGAGGAGUGAGAGCCCUGAAUCGAAGCCCCGGUAAACGGCGGCCGUAACUAUAACGGUCCUAAGGUAGCGAAAUUCCUUGUCAGGUAAGUUCUGACCCGCACGAAUGGCGUAAUGAUCUGGGAGCUGUCUCAACUGCCCGCCCGGCGAAAUUGUAGUACCGGUGAAGAUGCCGGUUACCCGCGACUAGACGGAAAGACCCCAUGGAGCUUUACUGUAGCUUAAUAUUGGAUUUCGGCAUUUCAUGUACAGGAUAGGUGGGAGACUAGGAAACAUAGGCGUCAGCUUAUGUGGAGUCGUCCUUGGGAUACCACUCUUGGAGUGCUGAAAUUCUAACCUGCAGCCCUGAAUCGGGUUGGGGGACAUUGUUAGGUGGGCAGUUUGACUGGGGCGG